Long non-coding RNA from Lolium perenne, 2436 nucleotides. RefSeq lists it as uncharacterized. The record is from RefSeq and is a predicted model, not a curated record. Lineage: Eukaryota; Viridiplantae; Streptophyta; Magnoliopsida; Poales; Poaceae.
ACUAAACCCCGUCACCCCAUUAUUUUCUUUCCAAUUCAACCCAGACGACGGCGAGCGGUUGGGAUUGGGCGAGGCAGCGGCGAUGCGGGUGAGCGGCCGGCGGCGAUGCGGGUGACUGGCCGGCGGCGAGCGGCGGAUGCGCUAUGCGUUGUGGGUGUCCUUCGCUCUGUUGUGGUCUGCCGACGAAUCGACGGCGACCGGCUGUAGGUGUGAUUGCGGCCGGCAGCGGGCGGUUGUAGGCAGGGUUGCUCCGAGCGGCUGCAGCUGGGGAUCUUAUCGGCUUGAGGCUUGGUGAGUGGCAGAUCCUCCUCUCCGCCUCCAACACCAGUUCGGCCGUCUGUUCGUCCACGUUCCUCACCGCCGGCUAGCCGUCAACUUCACCCCGUCGUCAGCCGACCGUCUUCUCCCCCGAGCGCCGGCAGCGCCCCAUACUCUACGCUGGCACCGUCUGCUUCGCUCCAGCACUGGAAGCACCGUCCCCUUCGUACCUCUCUUCACCUCCCGACGCUGACGGCCGUCGUCCACGGAUCCAUUCCUCACUUCAUUGAAGCACCUGCCGCCGUCCAGGCUCCUGCCACCGGGUUCCAGCAAUCCAAGCCUGGAACGUCAUCGAGGAGCCCCAAUCGCCCGCUACCAGGUGUGAACUGUUAUUGGCAGAUUCACAUUGGUUUCGUGUUGUCAAAGAGGUGGGGUAGAGGUAUGUUGAAACAAUUCAGAGGCACCGGACUGAGCUACUUGCUGGUGCGUGCUCCGGCGAACGCUAGCCACUGGCAUGCUUGGGAAAGCAUGUCAUUGAUCCGGAUAUUCCUUUCUCGGUCGUUGAUCCAGAUAGUCCCUUCUCGAAUAUCUUUUCCACGUUGUUGCCUUGUUGGGCAUGGAAGAAACAGGGUAUAUUUAUCAUUGUAUUGAACCCGCUGACUGCUGCACAUCUUCCCCUCCAUUGAAUAUCAAAUUAAUUCCAUCUUUGUGCAUCUGCUGAUAUGAAGGAAGAAGAUUCACAUUCACUAGCGAGAUCCACUUAUACAGAAGGGCAAAUUUUAUAUCACGGGCAUCCUAUAUUUAUAUCAUCGUCUGCCGACCCAGCCUGUUAUGUAUGGCACAUGAGCCUGCCGGCGGCUGGUGAUCCAGUAAUCGCUGCACACAAGGUAUGGUAUGGUGAGCUUCUAUAUCAUUUCCUGCCUCAUAUGUGUAUAGUUUGUGUGCUCAAUCUGGUGAUGAUGAAGCCAGAUUUACACUCCCGCUGUUUAUUCCUGUUUGGCCUUCUAGGGACCUAAAAACUCCCAGGUGGCCAUAUCAAUAGCCAAAAUAUGUCACCUUUCUGCAGUGUUCCUUGUGUUCGCCAAUAGGUCUAUGGCCUUCUUCAAAAAAAAAUCAACUGAUAGAAUUAAUUCUUUUUUACAUUGCCCGUCCAUAGUUCUGAACUAUUGCGGGAGCCAUGAUGGAUAUGUGUCUUAUUCUUUAGCUUUACAACCUUAGAUGGUUGGUUUGUAUGAUAGCAACUCUUUCCUUGGUCUAUACAAAGUAAAAGAUUAUAGAAAUGUUGUACAUCUGAUGACUGUGUUGAUACCCUAUGAAGCACCGGUACGGCGAUACGGAUACGGGAACAUGGGAUACGGCAAUAUCUAGAAAUAGCAAUACGGCGAUACGGCGAGUAUACAUAUAAAAAUUAAUAUAAAUCCAUUUGAUUUAGACAAAGAAUAAUUGAAUGCUGUGAAAAUCUGCCCCAUUUGUUGCCUCCGUGUCUGUUUUAAGUUCUUGAUGGCUGAAUGAUCGUCUCAUCAAUUUCCUCAAUCAUUAUAUUGCCCAUUCGUGCUUGCAAAAUACAUCGAUGGCAAGAAAUAUCUUUGACUUGUGAGUGUAAGGCAUGGCCACAGUGCCCAAUUUUUAAUGUCCCGUUUCAUCUUCGAGAAUAUUGGGCAACUAAGGGUAUGCAUUUUUUUUUACGUUGGUUUCUUUGCACCAAUUAUGUUCAUAUCAUCAGAACUGAAUACUCUUGUUUCCUGAAUGACUACAGUUAAAAUCAUCUUGAAUUUGCUAUAUUCAGAAUUAUAUAGCAUGUUCUCUCUUUGUCUGAUCGAUUGCUGGCCUCUCCAGAUGAAGAGGCAUGUGUUUUCUUACGAAGUUAUUAUUGAGUGCACUUCUUGCAGCACGUCGAUGUCUGUCAUUCGCUAUUGUCCGCUUGAUUUUUCUACUACGAAACAUACUACCAAUAGAAGACAGAAGUUGCCGUGGAUGUUUUGGAGCGCAUGUGGACACCCAAAUCUAUGGUGUCAAUGAUGUUGACCUUGGAGAUAUUUGGGACUUGUACAACUAAUAACGUGCCUAUGCGAAAAUUUUCGAGAAGGGUGUUUUAAGGAACCUAAUUAUGGUAUUCUGCUAUGUAAUAAAUUAUUUCUGUACUUCCUAUGUAAAAACUGUGAGAUUUUUACAAGACCA